AUGGAGAAGAAGUGGGACUCCGGAUGGAGAAGAAGUGGGACUAGGAGUGCUCAUUCCUUUCCGGCCACAACCCUCGCCUCCGCCCGCCAUGCCGCCGCCGCCGGCGACGCUGCCAGACGAGCUCCUCGAGGAGAUCCUCCUCCGCCUUCCGCCGGACGACCCCGGGUGCCUCUGCCGCGCCUCCUCGUCUGCAAGCCCUGGCGCAGCCGCCUCACCGGCCCUGCCUUCUCCCGCCUCUACCGCGAGUUCCACCGGGCGCCUCCCUUGCUGGGAUUCUUCGAGAACGACGAGACGGUCUUCUGCUGGUUCGCUCCCUUGACCCCCACCUCCCCCUUCCUCCCGGUCCACCCCAGCCAGUCUGAUCUCUUCACGCUCGACGCUCGCCAUGGCCUCGUCCUCUUAACUGCUCUCGGCGCGGACGGCGAACCUCUGUGCCUCAUCGUGUGGGAUCCCAUUUUCCAUCGCCAGUGGCUAUUGCCCUUGCCCGAGUUCGUGGACUAUCCAACCGUCCCGGACUGCGCGGCGGCGGUGCUCUGCGCCGCCGAUGGCUGCGACCACAUCGACUGCCAUGGCAACCCCUUCCGCGUGGUCUACGUGGGCACCGAUGAAGACGGGGUCGCACAAGCUUGCGUCUACUCUUCAGAGGACCGUUCCUGGAGCCCCGUGACAUCUUGUGAGCACACUGACUUGCCCCUGCUCGUCAUUAGCUCUCGGCCCAAUGCCCUUGUGGGAGAUGCAGUCUAUUUCUUGUGCCAUCAGGAAACGUUCAUCCUGCAGUAUGACUUGUUCAACCAGGAACUAUCAAUGAUUUACUGGCCACCCUUGCCAAAGUGUAAGUGCGGCGAAUAUAUCGUUAUGCCCACAGAGGACGGUGUGCUGGGAUGUGCCACCCUGAAGGAGUCCAAGCUCGAAUUAUGGUCGAUGGAGGCUGGCACAGACGGAGCUGUAAAAUGGGCAAUACGUAGAGUCGUAGAGCUUGAGAACUUGCUACCCUCUCCCCCUAGAUAUGCGAUCAGCUGCGCCAAUGGAGUUGAUGUCUUUUUCGUGCGGACAGAUCUUGGCACCUUCACAGUUGAGCUUAAUUCAGGCCGAGUUAAGAAGGUAUCCAACAGCACUAACAUCAUUCCCUACAUGAGUUUCUACACUCCUGAUCAAGCUGGGGGUAUAAAGCCUCCAUCAGCCAUAGCUUCCUCCUCAGAGAGCAUUGAGAAGGCCCGAGACGAGCACCAUGAUCUGCUGCGGCCACACUCAAGUUGGAAUCUGGGCUUUGAGAAGGAGAAAUGGGUAGAGAAGAGCAAGGAGGAUUGUGAAUGUGAGGAGGACGGAUGGGAGGAGGAGGCCGAGGAAGAGGAUUGGGAAUGGAAUGGGGAUAAAGCUCAGGAGCUGUUUGACGAGGGGUCCAAGGCCAUCGAGGAAGGGCAAUUGGUCCAUGCCGAGGACUGUUUCUACACUGCCCUUAGGAGCAGGGUGUUAUAUUAUGGGAGACUUUCUCCAAUGUGUGUUAGCACGUAUUACAAAUAUGGAUAUGUUUUGCUGUACAAAGCUCGAGCUGAGAUUGCACCAUAUCAAGACUGGCGGAAGAGUAGAACCAGCAGAGAUGAUACUGGAAGCUCAAAGGCAUCUGGUAGUAAUGCAAGGGAAGAUGAUACUGAAAAAGUUACGGCACCGAAGCAGCGUCCCUGUCCAAUGUAUUUGAAUGAACUAGCUUUGGUGCAAAAUUUGGAUCUGGCCUGGAAAAUGUUGCAUAUUGCGAAGGCAAUACUUGAAAAGAGUCCUUGCGAUCCUGUUGUGGAAUUUGGUCCUAGAAACUUCCACAUAUUUCUGGCUUUCAAGUCUGCAUCCAAGAUUGGAGAUGCGAUUCCAUAUGCUGCAAAGGUUAUUUCAUUCAUCAAGUCACGUAUGCAGAAGCUGAAUAAGGCCUACGAUGCUUUCUUGGCUGUUGAAGGUGAUAAUAUACCUGGUGCUGAAGUUAGCUCAGAAAAAUCCUCGCUGGACAAUGACAAAGAAUUCCUUGCUACCUUACUCAAUGAAGUAGAGGAGCAAUUUGAAGACCUAGCACAAGCAUUAACCCCAAUCUCGAAGGCAAGUGGUGCGCGUAAAGUUGUCUAUGCUACACCAAGAGCUGGAGCAAAGGAUUCUUCACCUGUAAAAGGUGAUAGCAGCAACAAAUCAGAUGUUCAUCCUGCAGCACUGGAGGACGAUACCUCUAUCAGAGUAGAUACAUCUUCGUUAGCUUUACUACUUGAAGUUUGUGAUAAGUACAUAAGGUGCUGGAAUAGUAGGGGAGUGCUCUCCCUUCUAGAUGAAGUCUGGAGCAUUAGGAAGAAGAACAAUUUCGUCUUGAAAUAUAACACUGUGAUUUCUGACAUGGAAAAUGUCUAA
Molecule: ribosomal RNA, 2382 nt
Filed under: Triticum aestivum (bread wheat)
Lineage: Eukaryota; Viridiplantae; Streptophyta; Magnoliopsida; Poales; Poaceae
Description: partial small subunit ribosomal RNA
Source: RNAcentral